Schistocerca americana (American grasshopper) is the source of this 1680-nucleotide long non-coding RNA. RefSeq lists it as uncharacterized. NCBI's taxonomy places the organism in Eukaryota, Metazoa, Arthropoda, Insecta, Orthoptera, Acrididae. The transcript has 3 exons. The record is from RefSeq and is a predicted model, not a curated record.
UGUUCUUGUGAAAUUUAUUUUCUUAAUUCCUUCUCAUAUUCUUUUUGUUGUUGCAAAAUUAAUUUUAGCAUAGACAAAUAUCCUAAUCGUCCUGAGUUGGCAAAGUGUCAGCUGAUGUUGUACCAUGACUUACUUCCUUUUCUCCAGACAGUUUACUAAUACUAAUGUUUCAAUUACAAAUUUUAGACUGCUAUAUGCAGUUACUUUUCAAUCUCGACAUACUGCCGCUGAUUCUCGUAGCUGUGGGUCACACCACUGUCCGCAAUUUCGCUGUUGUGGUGUGCAGAGGUUGACAAGUUAUAUGCACCCUGUACUGUUAACUGCUCUCAUGUCUUCUGUACAUUUAUAUGAAGAUCUCUUUAUGGUAACUUGCACUAAGGACAACACACACACCCAUGCCCAAGGGAGGACUCAGGACUCGAACCUCCAACAGGGAGGGAGCCGCACGAACCGUUGCGAUGUGCCCUCGACCGCAUGGCUACCCCUCACAGCAGUAUUUGAAAAGUAUACUCUGUUGAUGGAAGGAACUGAAUGUCUAUAAAAUGGCAACUCCUCAAGAGAAGGCACAAUGUGUGUCUUGGUUUAUUCAGACAAAAUCAGAUGUUCAGACUCAACGAAACUUCAGAACGAAGUAUGGAAGAGGUCCACCAUCGCGCCCUUCAAUCCGUGCAUGUCACAAAAAAUUUAUGGAGAGAGGGACAGUGUUGGAUAAAGGGAGGAGUAGAAGACCAAGAACAUCUGAGGAAAACAUCGAUCGCGUUUUAAACGUCUUCACUCGUUCACCUACGAAGUCCAUUCGCAGUGCUGGCAGACGGUUGCAACUACCACGUUCAACUGUGCAUAAGGUCCUCCACAGGAACUUACUAUUGUAUGCUUACAAAGUGCAACUGUUGCAGACACUUGAGCAAAAUGACAAGCCAAAACGAACAGAGUUUGCACUCAACAUGCUAGUACGCCUUUCGGAGCAUGAAGCAUUUCUCAAGUGAGUUUGUUUCAGUAACAAGGCAACUUUUCAAGUUUCUGGGUCAUUAAACAGGCACAGUUUGAGAAUCUGGGGAUCUGAACACCACCAUGUGACUAGGGAGCUUCACCAGGAUAGUUCAAAAGUGAGCUUGUGGUGUGGAAUCAUGUAAAACCGAAUAAUUGGUCCAUUUUUCUUCAACGAGUCAACAAUUACUGCAGAUGUUUACUUGAACUUCUGACUGGAUAUGUAGCACCACAACUGAUUGACUUACAACCAACUGUCAUUUUCCUGCAAGAUGGUGCACCACCACAUUGGGAACUGCAUGUUCAUCGGUUCCUCAGUGAAACAUUUCCAGGCAGAUGGAUUGCGAGGACUGGACCAAUUCCUUGGCCAUCGCAUUUGCCAGAUAUCAUUCCCUUGGACUUUUUUUUAUGGGAGUAUCUAAAAGCUAUCGUGUAUCAAACACAGUUAGGGGACAUUGCUGACUUGAAGCAAAGGAUCCGUAAUGCCAUUGCCACCAGCGAUUACGCUAUGCUACAAUGAACAUGGCAAGAAAUCGAGUACUUUGUUAAUGUGCUUCAUGCAACUAAAGGCGCCCAUAUAGAGGUCUAUUAAACACUGUCAAAAAAAGCUUUUAUUAACACUGAUUACAGUAAAAGAAAUGUUGUUGAAAUAUUUCAAAAACUGCCAUUGUAAUAAAAUUUUCAAGUUUUAAA